Molecule: long non-coding RNA, 223 nt
Filed under: Lathyrus oleraceus (garden pea)
Lineage: Eukaryota; Viridiplantae; Streptophyta; Magnoliopsida; Fabales; Fabaceae
Description: Pisum sativum (pea) long non-coding RNA (PSAT_LNC038078)
Source: RNAcentral
CUGCACCCCUAUGUUUUGGCCCAUUAAUCCAUUCAUUCAUUCUUUUUCAUUUCUUUUUUUUUAAUUCAUUUUAUUUUUUCUGUUUUGUUUUAGUUAAUAUAAAAUAUUUUAUUUAUUCAUAAAAAUACCAAAAAAUAUUUUUUACUUUCCUUAAUGUUUUAUUUAAUUUAUUUAAUUUUUAUUUUCAUAUUUUAUUUAAUGUUAAUAUUUUAUUUUAAUUAUU